This 1652-nucleotide ribosomal RNA is filed under the name Escherichia coli. Its description in RNAcentral is "partial 23S ribosomal RNA". It matches the Rfam family "Bacterial large subunit ribosomal RNA", at positions 1 to 1688 of the family's 2925-position model. The record is from RNAcentral. Lineage: Bacteria; Pseudomonadati; Pseudomonadota; Gammaproteobacteria; Enterobacterales; Enterobacteriaceae.
GGGUUGUGAGGUUAAGCGACUAAGCGUACACGGUGGAUGCCCUGGCAGUCAGAGGCGAUGAAGGACGUGCUAAUCUGCGAUAAGCGUCGGUGAGGUGAUAUGAACCGUUAUAACCGGCGAUUUCCGAAUGGGGAAACCCAGUGUGUUUCGACACACUAUCAUUAACUGAAUCCAUAGGUUAAUGAGGCGAACCGGGGGAACUGAAACAUCUAAGUACCCCGAGGAAAAGAAAUCAACCGAGAUUCCCCCAGUAGCGGCGAGCGAACGGGGAGGAGCCCAGAGCCUGAAUCAGUGUGUGUGUUAGUGGAAGCGUCUGGAAAGGCGUGCGAUACAGGGUGACAGCCCCGUACACAAAAAUGCACAUAUUGUGAGCUCGAUGAGUAGGGCGGGACACGUGGUAUCCUGUCUGAAUAUGGGGGGACCAUCCUCCAAGGCUAAAUACUCCUGACUGACCGAUAGUGAACCAGUACCGUGAGGGAAAGGCGAAAAGAACCCCGGCGAGGGGAGUGAAAAAGAACCUGAAACCGUGUACGUACAAGCAGUGGGAGCCUCUUAAUGGGGUGACUGCGUACCUUUUGUAUAAUGGGUCAGCGACUUAUAUUCUGUAGCAAGGUUAACCGAAUAGGGGAGCCGAAGGGAAACCGAGUCUUAACUGGGCGUUAAGUUGCAGGGUAUAGACCCGAAACCCGGUGAUCUAGCCAUGGGCAGGUUGAAGGUUGGGUAACACUAACUGGAGGACCGAACCGACUAAUGUUGAAAAAUUAGCGGAUGACUUGUGGCUGGGGGUGAAAGGCCAAUCAAACCGGGAGAUAGCUGGUUCUCCCCGAAAGCUAUUUAGGUAGCGCCUCGUGAAUUCAUCUCCGGGGGUAGAGCACUGUUUCGGCAAGGGGGUCAUCCCGACUUACCAACCCGAUGCAAACUGCGAAUACCGGAGAAUGUUAUCACGGGAGACACACGGCGGGUGCUAACGUCCGUCGUGAAGAGGGAAACAACCCAGACCGCCAGCUAAGGUCCCAAAGUCAUGGUUAAGUGGGAAACGAUGUGGGAAGGCCCAGACAGCCAGGAUGUUGGCUUAGAAGCAGCCAUCAUUUAAAGAAAGCGUAAUAGCUCACUGGUCGAGUCGGCCUGCGCGGAAGAUGUAACGGGGCUAAACCAUGCACCGAAGCUGCGGCAGCGACACUAUGUGUUGUUGGGUAGGGGAGCGUUCUGUAAGCCUGUGAAGGUGGCCUGUGAGGGUUGCUGGAGGUAUCAGAAGUGCGAAUGCUGACAUAAGUAACGAUAAAGCGGGUGAAAAGCCCGCUCGCCGGAAGACCAAGGGUUCCUGUCCAACGUUAAUCGGGGCAGGGUGAGUCGACCCCUAAGGCGAGGCCGAAAGGCGUAGUCGAUGGGAAACAGGUUAAUAUUCCUGUACUUGGUGUUACUGCGAAGGGGGGACGGAGAAGGCUAUGUUGGCCGGGCGACGGUUGUCCCGGUUUAAGCGUGUAGGCUGGUUUUCCAGGCAAAUCCGGAAAACCAAGGCUGAGGCGUGAUGACGAGGCACUACGGUGCUGAAGUGACAAAUGCCCUGCUUCCAGGAAAAGCCUCUAAGCAUCAGGUAACAUCAAAUCGUACCCCAAACCGACACAGGUGGUCAGGUAGAGAAUACCAAGGCG